UUGGGUAGUUAAUGGAUGAGGAAGAGAAGGGUUGCUGUUGAAUUGAAGAGGUGAAGCUUCUCUGGUGUUGAAUUGAAAUAAGACCUAGGUUCCUGUGUUCGGGUGAUGGAUAAAGAAGAUGAGUAUGUGGUGAAAGUUUUGGACUCAGGGGAAGGAGGUUUGUGUGCUUUGGCAUCCUAAUUAAAGAUUUGGAAUCUCAGGGGAGUUUAUGGCAGUAGAAGGAAUAAGAUGGUUAUGUUUGGAUGGGUACUGCUUAUGGGUGUUAAUUGAAUGGGGUAUUCUUAAACUUUGAUUUAAGGUGAUGAUGAGUUUUUUUUUGACAGGGCAGUUGAAGGGUAAUUUUGAAUUACAGGGGUUAUGGAAUUGUUACUGAUGAAUUGAGUAGUAAUUUUUGGAUGUUGAGGUUGCUGUGUAUAUUGGUGUUGUUGGGGAAUGGAGCUUGAAGUGAUGAACAUGAAGAAGUUGAUGAUAUUGAUGAUUUGUGUAGUUGAUCUGUGCUGCAGGUGGAGUUGAGUUACUUAGUAGUGGUUCUGUGGCCAUUGUUAAGUUGCAGGGAGUUGUUGAAUUUGGAAUUGAGUUACAGUUGUAACUAGUUGGGAUAUUGUUAGUAAAUGAAACUGCAAUUGCUGGUGGCUUGUUUACGAAUAUGAGUUUGGAGAGUCGAGAUGUAUAUGCAUUACAAGGAAAAGAUGGGCCUGGUGUUUUUAUUAACAAGGGAUUCUGAAGAUGCGGAGGUUGCAGAGGUUAGUAAUUUGAGUAAUGGUUAACUUGGAGGCAGAAUUGUAAAGGUGAUUGUGUAAAAUUACAAAUAAGAAGAUUGAACUGAGUUUAGAUGAAUGAUUUAUGGAGGCUGGAAGAUGUAAGAGUUGGUAAGGUUGGAUUGUGUUCAUCAAUUGCAGAUGCAGACAUGAGCUAAUUAGAAUUAGUUGCGAGGAUUCAGAGAAUUAAUGACCUCACAAUGAGAACUGAUGUUGUUGAAUACAUUGGUUGAGUUAGAUAAUGGAUUGUGGAUUAUUGCAGGAGUAGUAAACUGAUGUUGGUAGUGAUUUCUGGGAAGUUGGAGUUGUUAUGAUUGAAGUUGAAUUGUAGUUGGAUAUGGUAUUGCUUGUGGGUUUGUGACUGCAGGUGUUGUGGACUGAGUUGGUGUAGGAGUAAUGAAAUGAAAAGUAAUUGCAGGUGUAAAUAAUACAAAUGGAUUCUAGUGUUGUAAUUGGAAGUGUUAGAAUUGCAAGGCAGAGAAAAGAUCAUUAAGAUGUAUUCAUUUGCAAUGAGAGUUAUAAAUGUAUUAUUUGAGUUUAGUUGUUC
Papaver somniferum (opium poppy) is the source of this 1305-nucleotide long non-coding RNA. RefSeq lists it as uncharacterized. The transcript has 2 exons. The record is from RefSeq and is a predicted model, not a curated record. Lineage: Eukaryota; Viridiplantae; Streptophyta; Magnoliopsida; Ranunculales; Papaveraceae.